CAGCCGCCACGGUAACACCGAGGGUGCGAGCGUUAAUCGGAUUUACUGGGCGUAAAGCGUGCGUAGGCGGCUUCUUAAGUCGGAUGUGAAAUCCCUGAGCUUAACUUAGGAAUUGCAUUCGAUACUGGGAAGCUAGAGUAUGGGAGAGGAUGGUAGAAUUCCAGGUGUAGCGGUGAAAUGCGUAGAGAUCUGGAGGAAUACCGAUGGCGAAGGCAGCCAUCUGGCCUAAUACUGACGCUGAGGUACGAAAGCAUGGGGAGCAAACAGGAUUAGAUACCCGAGUAGUCCCUGUCUCUUAUAC
Molecule: ribosomal RNA, 301 nt
Filed under: uncultured bacterium
Lineage: Bacteria
Description: partial 16S ribosomal RNA
Rfam family: Bacterial small subunit ribosomal RNA
Source: RNAcentral